RNAcentral lists this ribosomal RNA (301 nucleotides) under uncultured bacterium. Its description in RNAcentral is "partial 16S ribosomal RNA". It matches the Rfam family "Bacterial small subunit ribosomal RNA", at positions 509 to 807 of the family's 1533-position model. The record is from RNAcentral.
CAGUAGCCGCGGGAAUACGGAGGGAGCUAGCGUUGUUCGGAAUUACUGGGCGUAAAGCGCACGUAGGCGGCUUUGUAAGUUAGAGGUGAAAGCCUGGAGCUCAACUCCAGAAUUGCCUUUAAGACUGCAUCGCUUGAAUCCAGGAGAGGUGAGUGGAAUUCCGAGUGUAGAGGUGAAAUUCGUAGAUAUUCGGAAGAACACCAGUGGCGAAGGCGGCUCACUGGACUGGUAUUGACGCUGAGGUGCGAAAGCGUGGGGAGCAAACAGGAUUAGAUACCCCGGUAGUCCCUGUCUCUUAUAC